This 497-nucleotide ribosomal RNA is filed under the name uncultured bacterium. RNAcentral describes it as "partial 16S ribosomal RNA". It matches the Rfam family "Bacterial small subunit ribosomal RNA", at positions 28 to 507 of the family's 1533-position model. The record is from RNAcentral.
GAUGAACGCUGGCGGCGUGCCUAAUACAUGCAAGUCGAGCGAACGGACGAGAAGCUUGCUUCUCUGAUGUUAGCGGCGGACGGGUGAGUAACACGUGGAUAACCUACCUAUAAGACUGGGAUAACUUCGGGAAACCGGAGCUAAUACCGGAUAAUAUUUUGAACCGCAUGGUUCAAAAGUGAAAGACGGUCUUGCUGUCACUUAUAGAUGGAUCCGCGCUGCAUUAGCUAGUUGGUAGGGUAACGGCUUACCAAGGCAACGAUGCAUAGCCGACCUGAGAGGGUGAUCGGCCACACUGGAACUGGGACACGGUCCAGACUCCUACGGGAGGCAGCAGUAGGGAAUCUUCCGCAAUGGGCGAAAGCCUGACGGAGCAACGCCGCGUGAGUGAUGAAGGUCUUCGGAUCGUAAAACUCUGUUAUUAGGGAAGAACAUAUGUGUAAGUAACUGUGCACAUCUUGACGGUACCUAAUCAGAAAGCCACGGCUAACUACGUG